This 6320-nucleotide long non-coding RNA is filed under the name Malus domestica (apple). RNAcentral describes it as "long non-coding RNA (MDOM_LNC000107)". Lineage: Eukaryota; Viridiplantae; Streptophyta; Magnoliopsida; Rosales; Rosaceae. The record is from RNAcentral.
CAGAAGGUCAGAAAAGAAGUGGGAGGAGUGCGACAACGGGGGGAUUGGUGGAAGGCAGAGGCUGCCCUUUGGCAGCAGAAGAAACGUGAGGAAGGAGAGCAGCACGGACAGGGGGAGGGAAAACAGGAGCUGCCUUCGGGCAGCGUAAGAACACAGGGGGGAUGCUGGCGUGACAGCUGCUUUGCAGCUGGUCAGAGGGAAGCUGCCAGCGCAGCUGGGGAAAGAAGGUGAGACGGACAGCAAAGCAUGAAAACGCAGAUAAAGGGAGAAGACAGGGGGGAGCUGAGAGAGCAGCUCAGUGGAAACGCAGACAGAGAUCUUCACCUCUCUUUCGGUUUAAUCUCUCUAAACUUCUAUUUUAUUUCUGUUUUAAUAAUGUGUAAUUAAAUUUAUUUUGGCUAGAGGUUAAUUCAAAGCCAUGAAUAUAUUUGUAAUAUGAAUUGAUUACCUUCGGUUGUGAUUUCAUAAGUUGUGAUUUCAAUUUACUUAUCCGUUCGUAUAAAAACUGAUUUGUGUAUGUUGGUUGAGAGUGCACGCUUAAUUUACAUGCAUGAAUUUGAUGCUAGAAUAUAAGUGAAUUUCACCUAAUCGUUAUGAACUUAUUUUCACAAGUAGUAAAGGUUGCUAGUCACAAUCACGUUAAGUAAAUUCUUGGCAAGAGUAUCAUGCUUUUCAUAGUUACGAAUGACUCGUCAAUGCUUAUAGUUUUCACAAAGUUUAAUGAUCUUUGAUUGUAUCUCUAUUGUACUUUUCACGUAGGGGACUUUUGAAGAAUGUUUUGAAUUGUUGUAUGCGUUUUCCCGUCCAAUUCAAUAACUUAAGGAAAACUUGAAGAUUAAAAAAGUGUUGUUCACGGUUAAUCUGAAGUGUUGAGAUUCAUAAUUCAUUGAAAGAACAACUGAAAAUUAAUUUAGGUUGCAUAUGUGUCAUGUGUGGAGAAGAACCCUUUAGCUAGUCUGUCAUUUAUCAUUUUACCUUAAUUUUAUGCUUUUGUCAAUUCUGUAAUUUAAUUAAGUUUAAUUUACUUUUCAUCAAAACCAAACACCCAUCCAUUAUUAAAUUAUAUUAUUUAGUUAGUUUUCUUUAUUGUUAGUCUUUUAAUUUAAUUUCCGUCCAUUUCAGUUCCUAGUGUUUAAAUUGAGUGUUUCCAUUAUUUUGAGUCAUUUUAAGAGUGUUUCGAGUUAUUAGAAUUUUUAGCCUAGUUUUAUGUCCUUGAGUCUUGUUUAAUAUUUUUAAAUUAAUUUAGAAUAGAUUAGCAAUCCCUCCUAAUCCCCGGCCUAGAACGAUACCCUACUUACAUCUAUACUACAAUUGUCAAAAAGAGGGUUUAAUUUGUGUGUCAAGUAAUUUUCACAUCAAAUUUUGGCGCCGUUGCCGGGGAUUAGCAACUUUGCUAAUCCUUUUAUUUUUGUUUUUGUUUAUGUUUAUAUUGGUGUUUGUGUAUUUUACUUUUGAUAUUUGAUUUAUUUUUCUUUCUUUGAUUUUAGGUUCAAAUGGAGCCGAGGGAAAUUUAAAGGAAAGAUGCGUCCGGCUAAAGACGUUAAAUCAAGCGCUUCUUGGGAGGCAACCCAAGCAUCAUUCAACGAAGGGAGACUUUGGAAUCACUAACCCAAUCAGCUUUGCAUUCUUCCACCCUUAUCUUUACUGCUUUCAUUUUGUUUUGUUUAGUUAGUUGUGUUAUUUGGUUGAUUUCUGUGAGUUUGUGUUAUUUAGUUUAAGUGUGGGGGAAGGUUAACCAAAGUCUCUUUACAUUAAUUUACAUAUAUAUAUAAAAAAAAAAAAAAAAAAGAAGAUAAAAUUUAAAAUUAAAUAAAAAAAAAAAAAAAAAUACAAAUAUUUUACAAUGAUGUAAAUUAAUAGUAUUCAUUGGUCGGGCAGGGCUUCAGCAGUCGGCGGGGCCACAGAAGGAGGAGGCGGCAGAGGUUGAUCAGUUGGAGCUUCACUACGCGGUGCCGCUCCAGAAGACGAAGGCAGAUGUUGUUGGAAUAAACCCACAAACCUCCGAUGAUCAAGUAAAAUUUGACCAUCGGUGUCCUGCAUCUGGUCAAUCUUCCUCUUCAUGCUGGUGGCAUAGCUGUGUGCGAGCUUGUGCAAUUGUUUAUUUUCAUGCUUGAGUCCUUUAAUCUCCUCUUUGAGACUCUGUAUUUCAGCCACCAACGAUUCAACAUGACGGGUUCGGGCAAAUAGGCGUUGGGCCAUGUUGGACACGGAACCGGCACACUGCACGCUAAGAGCCAGAGACUCCUUCACAGCCAACUCAUCAGACCGUCUAGCGAGCAGUCUGUUAUCUCUGGGAGUGACAAGGUUUCGGGCCACCACCGCAGCGGUCAUGUCAUUUUUUAUCACCGAAUCCCCCACGGUAAGAGGACCGGUAGGGGAUAUGAAGGUUGGUCGCCAUAUGUUGUCUGGUGAAGGCGGAGCUGCCUCUUCACCAAUGUUCAAGUCAAAACGACGAUCAGAAGGGCCAGACAUUUUUAAGAGGUGGUGAAGAAAGAAGAGAGUCGGAAUGAUCAAGAUUAAACAAGUGCAAGAAGGGAGUGUUUACAGGAGGGUGCUCAAGUGUGUUGUGGAACAAAAUUAACGCCUCUAUAAAAAGAAGAAAUCAAAGAGGCGCUCCUCAGAGAAGCGUCCUCUCGCAAAUCGAAGAGUCGGGGCUCGUUUCUCAAACGCCUGAUUCUUUUCUCAAAAGAGGCGUUUCAUUUCUUAAAAGUUGAGCUUGCUCAGAAACCACGAGCCGAACCCCGGAUUUCGCAAAAUCAAUUUGUCCAGACGUGUUGUCACUCGUCACAUGCAACCGGUAGCUUUGCGGAAAUCACGGGCAGUUUGUCGAAGCACCAAUUCAGAAAUCAAAGAGGGAAAUUCAACAGUCAAUGACACGCUAGCUUUCUCAAAAGCUGGGCUUCAACCCACGGGCAAAUCUUCUUUUCCAGAUUUAUCCGCACGUGUCACAUGCUACCUCUACAAUCGACGAUGCUCAGAGCUCGAAGCGCCGAUUCCAGAUAUCAAUGAGGAAUUUGCUUUGCGGAAAUUACGGGCAGCUUUGUCAGAAAGCGCGUAAUUUGUACUAUUCAUCCAUCUACCGGCUGCCGACACUAAGUGAGAUAACAGUUCCGGUUGUGAAGACAAGUCCUAUAAGUUUCUACCUUCGCCUUCCACAGCAAAAGCACACUCUCUCAGCACACCCUCUCAACACUUCUUCAUCUCCGAAAAUGCAUUCCCAAAGAAUCCUCCUAAGUUACUAUGUGUUCCUCAUUCCUUGGGAUACUCCUGCGAACAACCCAUUCAAAGCAAAAGUAUUUCAUAUCAUGAAGGUUGAAAGCAAGAGUAUCUCAUAUCAUGCUUUCUCCCUGUCCUUUCUCCAGCCAGCACCUGCUCUCGAGUACUCAUCAUCUUGUGCUUUCGCUUUGUUUCUCACUUAUAAGGGAAGUGAAGAUGAUACCUCGAAGCAUGUGGAGACAACGUGCUGAUUCAUCCUCAACUAAGGACAAGGAGAAAGAGAGCAAGAGGUGGGCACUUGGAAAGAUUGAAGAAAGAAACAGACCAACACCUCUCCCUCGUGCCUGCCCGUUGUGCAGAAGAAACAAGCAGAGAAGAAUGCAGCUUGCACAAUCAUCCCAGCGGAAGGAGUCCGAGCUGAGGAACUAGAGAAGCUGCCACAUCUGCUUGGAGAACAAAUAAGGAACUGCAACAUUCCCAAAGAGCAAAGCCUCGCCGUACAAUAUCAUCAAAUCAUCACUUGCAAGUGAAAAGCUAAGUGUCACCCUGUUCAAGAGGAAAGCUGUGGAAAGUCAACAAGCACGACCAAUGAUUACUUAUUAGUUUUAUUCAUUAUCUUUUAUCGUAAUUUUCAAUUUUUCGUUUGCAAUUUUUUUAAUUAAUUUUCUUGCGUACUUAACUGAAUUUUUCCUUUUCUUUGCAGGAACUUUUGGUUAUUUCCACCCUUGAAGUUGAUUGCAGAAUUUUAGCUUGGGGGUCAUCGCUUGAUUUUACUGCAAAUUAGGGAAGUUUUCAGUCCAAUUGUUUUAUUUUGUUUCUUAUUAUUUAUUUAUUUUAUUUUAUUUUUUAUUUGCAUUAUAGUGUUUUCUGACAUUGGGGACAAUGUCAAGUUUAAGUGUGGGGGUAGAAAUCUCUAGAAUUUCUAUUGUUUCUAUGUUUUUGCUUUUUGUUUUCUUAAAAAAAAAAAAAAAAAAAAAAAUCGGAAAAUUUAAAAAUCCAAAAAAAUUGUCUUGUUUCCCUUAUUGUUUUGAAUUAGAUUUUUUUGUUAGUUUCCCGACCCAAUGAUAUAAUUGGAUAAAAUUUGAAACCAUGAUCAUCAAGAACUUAGUUAACAUGUGUUUUUGUGAAAUUCCUAAUUCUCUUGUUAGUUUUGUACAUGUUUGACCAUCCUUGAAAAACCAAAUGCACAUAGCCUUGUUAAUGUGAAACUAAAGCAUGACUUAAAGCUUCAUAUGUGAAUUUAGUGACCAUAUACAUCCGAUGUGAGUUCUUUGAGCCUAUUGAAAGUGUGUGCAUUUUUCAUACACUCCUAUUAUUUCAUGUGUGAUGAACUUAUGUGAGAUACAUCUCUAGAACUUGCGUAACGAUCUUUCGAAAUGUUUGUCAUUGAUUGCAUGAACUUGGAAAUGAUAGAGGCAUUAGGUUUAUCACUAUGGCCCAAAUAACCAUGUUUCCCAAAUAAAAAUGAUAUCAUUAGAUUGCCAAUUUGAGCCGUGUAUGUUGAGCCUUUUAUUUCUUAUCACCAGAUAUGUCUACCCUUAUACCUGAAACAUUUUUCCUUACCCUUUCCAAGCGAGCAAUGCGGGAUUGUCUUAUGAGAAAUGUUUGUGAAGUACUUUGAAGGUGUUUGGCAAAAGAAUAAGUGUGGGGGUAUUUCAUGUUUGUAUUUAAAAAGAAAAGAAAAAAAAAAAAAAAAAAAAAAAAAAAAAAAGAAAGAAAGAUUGUAUACAAAGAAAAUAAAAAGUUUUUAAAGUUUCAGUUUAAGGGUGUGAUUGGAGGUAUCAGAAGAAUCGUUGGAGAGCUUGAGUUCUUAUAAAUCUAAACAAAAGAAUUGCUUGCAAUGUAGCUUGGAACUUGUGUUUUCCUAUUCUUUCAUUUCAAUAACCAUAUCCAUAAACCUCAUUACGUCCAAUAAAAGUCCUCUUGAUUUAAGUUUUGCAAUUAUGAUUGUGGAGAUGAGAUCUUUAUGCAAGCUUAUGGUAGAAAUUUCACAUUUGAUUCUUUGAGCGAAACACAUUAAAACUAAACACAUGUGUGAUUGAGUGAAUAUUCAGUGAGAAGGUCGCUAGUUUGCAUAUGAUGAUUUUAAAAAUAAAAACUUGAAAUUGCAUUAGCAUGGCUAUCUCACACACUACACUUCAAGGAUGAUUCAAAGAUUACUGCUAAUAUUUGAAUAAGAAAGAUGAACUUGGAUUAGUUCCUUGAUGCUAGCUAUGGUUCUUGAUGAUUUGUUUUCUUGAAUGAAAUUCUAUGAGGGUCACAUAGAGGGAAGCUAAUGUCUUUCAUGUUAGUACUUUUUCAUGUUUUCUUUGUUUUGCUCGAGGACUAGCAAAAGUUAAGUGUGGGGGUAUUUGAUCGGAUCAUAUUUAUAUAUAUUUUUACUUCGAAUUCACUCGUCUUUUCUUGGUUAGUUCCUUAUAUUUUUGAGCUAUUUACGUUAUUUUUGUGUUUAUAGGAUCUGUUAUGCAAUAUUACCUUUUAUUGUCGCAUGAUAAUAUUAAUUUACAUUUUAUAAACAAGGUUUGUCCCUCUCUAUGUCUAUAUGUUGAAAGACAAGCAAAAAAAUAAUAAAAAGAAGCUGCCCAAGACAGCUAAGGAGAGAAUUGAAAGAGGAAUCCAAGGAGGGCAGCGGGAGAUUAGGCAGACAAAGAAAACCUUUGCAGCUGGCGAGAGAAAGAGGAAAUGAGAAGACUGCGACAAAGGGAAUCCAAAGAAGAAAGCAGGAUAAUUAGAGGGGAGGAAAUAAAAGGAAAUCUGAGGUAUGUAGAGAGGGGGGUCUUGGAGCGGGAGAAGGGAGCUGCCCUUUGGGCAGCUCGCAGAAGGUCAGAAAAGAAGUGGGAGGAGUGCGACAACGGGGGGAUUGGUGGAAGGCAGAGGCUGCCCUUUGGCAGCAGAAGAAACGUGAGGAAGGAGAGCAGCACGGACAGGGGGAGGGAAAACAGGAGCUGCCUUCGGGCAGCGUAAGAACACAGGGGGGAUGCUGGCGUGACAGCUGCUUUGCAGCUGGUCAGAGGGAAGCUGCCAGCGCAGCUGGGGAAAGAAGGUGAGACGGACAGCAAAGCAUGAAAACGCAGAUAAAGGGAGAAGACAGGGGGGAGCUGAGA